GUUCAAAUCCGGCUAAUACUGCUCUUGUGAGUGAAAAAAGAAAUCAGUUAAAACAAAAACAGCAGGCAUGGGAGAGUAAACACUCAACAGAUGUGUCAAACUGAAGGCAGCUUUUACGGAGGGGAAGGUAGAAGCUGCUAAACAAUGUCCCCAUAAUACAUUUUUUUAACUGCCUAAAGGACUCAUUGGCACACGAAGCACUGGUGUGAUCACUAUCAAAGGGGAGGAUUUUUCUUGCCUUUAUGAUUCCGGAUCCCAAGUAACCACAAUCCCUCAUUCUUUCUAUAAUGCAUAUUUGUCCGACCACAAGAUAAAGCCCCUAAAUGACAUUCUGGAGAUUGAAGGAGCCAAUGGGCAGAUGGUGCCAUAUUUAGGAUACAUUGAGCUCAACAUUACAUUUCCAGCUGAUUUCCUUGGAGAAUCCCUUAAUGUCCAAACUCUGGCAUUAGUAGUUCCCGAUGUGAAAACUCAAUCCAUGGUUUUGAUUGGCACAAAUUCUCUUGACACCGUUUAUGCCAAAUAUAGUGAAAACCAAACUUCUGAUUUUCAACCUGUUCUAUCUGGCUAUAAAGCAGUAUUAAAGAUCCUUCAACUCAGACACAAACAAAGAAGUAGCGACCAUCACAGUGUGCUCAAGAGUGAAUGCCAGCCUUUGACCAUCCCUGCUGGGCAAACCAUUGUUGUGGAGGGGUUGGUGAUUGCUCCUUUUCUGGCGGGUGAGAAAAUGGUGUUAAUUGAACACCCAUCUUCAUUUUCGCUGCCCGGUGGGUUGCUUGUUAAAUCAUGCCUUGUGGAUUUUCCUCGAAACCAUCCGUGUCAUCUGCCUGUUGUAAUAACAAAUGAAUCCGACCAUGUUGUGGUGAUUCCCCCAAAAGUUGCCAUUGCCGAAAUAAGUGCCGUGCAAACUAUCCUUUCCAAAGAACAGACUGCAUGCUCUUCUCCAUCCACUGAUAACAAGUUAAAGUACAACUUUGGAGUGUCCCCUAUUUCUCCUGAAUGGAAGCAGCGUAUCACAAGUAUGCUAGACAGUAUCCCUGAGGUUUUUGCAAAAAAUGAUCUAGAUUUUGGAUGUACUGACAAAGUUAAACAUCAAAUCAAACUAACAGAUCCAACAGCAUUCAAGCAGAGACCACGUC
Molecule: long non-coding RNA, 1136 nt
Filed under: Gouania willdenowi (blunt-snouted clingfish)
Lineage: Eukaryota; Metazoa; Chordata; Actinopteri; Blenniiformes; Gobiesocidae
Description: lncRNA (ENSGWIG00000003464.1)
Source: RNAcentral